UAGGGGCAACCCUUAGUAGAGCGGCGCACGGGUGCGUAACACGUGGAUAAUCUGCCUGGAUGCCUGGGAUAACCAGUCGAAAGAUUGGCUAAUACCGGAUAAGCCCACGGUCUCUUCGGAGACUGAGGGAAAAGGUGGCCUCUGUAUACAAGCUAUCACAACCAGAUGAGUCCGCGGCCCAUCAGCUAGUUGGCGGGGUAAUGGCCCACCAAGGCAACGACGGGUAGCUGGUCUGAGAGGACGAUCAGCCACACUGGAACUGAGACACGGUCCAGACUCCUACGGGAGGCAGCAGUGGGGAAUUUUGCGCAAUGGGCGAAAGCCUGACGCAGCAACGCCGCGUGUGUGAUGAAGGUCUUUGGAUUGUAAAGCACUUUCGACCGGGACGAAACCGUAAAGCCUAAUACGCUUUGCCUUGACGGUACCGGGAGAAGAAGCACCGGCUAACUCUGUGCCAGCAGCCGCGGUAAUACAGAGGGUGCAAGCGUUGUUCGGAAUUAUUGGGCGUAAAGCGCGUGUAGGCGGCUUUGCAAGUCGGGUGUGAAAGCCCUCAGCUCAACUGAGGAAGUGCGCCCGAAACUGCAGAGCUUGAGUGCCGGAGAGGGUGGCGGAAUUCCCCAAGUAGAGGUGAAAUUCGUAGAUAUGGGGAGGAACACCGGUGGCGAAGGCGGCCACCUGGACGGUAACUGACGCUGAGACGCGAAAGCGUGGGUAGCAAACAGGAUUAGAUACCCUGGUAGUCCACGCCGUAAACGAUGAGAACUAGGUGUCGUGGGAGUUGACCCCCGCGGUGCCGUAGC
Molecule: ribosomal RNA, 800 nt
Filed under: Corallococcus exiguus
Lineage: Bacteria; Pseudomonadati; Myxococcota; Myxococcia; Myxococcales; Myxococcaceae
Description: bacterial SSU rRNA
Rfam family: Bacterial small subunit ribosomal RNA
Source: RNAcentral